Molecule: non-coding RNA, 73 nt
Organism: Cervus elaphus (red deer)
Lineage: Eukaryota; Metazoa; Chordata; Mammalia; Artiodactyla; Cervidae
Source: the annotation of a RefSeq genome assembly
UCCCUGGUAGUCCAGUGGUUAAAACUUUGCACUCACAAUGCAGGGGGACCAGGUUCGAGUCCUGGUCAGGGAA